Quercus lobata is the source of this 2235-nucleotide RNA transcript. RefSeq lists it as uncharacterized. The transcript is spliced from 8 exons. The record is from RefSeq and is a predicted model, not a curated record. NCBI's taxonomy places the organism in Eukaryota, Viridiplantae, Streptophyta, Magnoliopsida, Fagales, Fagaceae.
GUGGUGGGCCUAUUUGGUUGGGCCAGGAGGGAGGAGCAGAAAUGGAAUACAGUUUUGGCCUGUAUCCUGGGAAAUGGGAAAAACGGGGGGAGUGAAAGGGAAAAGGAAAUGUUGUUGUGAUCGGAAUCGGAGAGAGAAUGAGAAGCAAGAGUGGGCGCGGGGGUAGGCCCAAACACAAUCGUUCCACUUCUUCUUCUCCUUCUAUCACUGCUACUACUACUUCACUUCCUAUGCUCUUCAAUCGCAAACACAAUCAGUUCACACUGGACGAAGAUAGCGUCUGUGGAGAAAUGCUCAAUGCUCAGCUACACAAUGAUGUAGCUCCUGAUUUGGUUGACCACGCUCUUGCUUCCAAAACAAGAGUCCAUUGCUCUACCUCUCAUGACAUUUCUACUCUAGAUGAUGGUAUGGAGAUUGAUUGCUUCAAACAGACUUGUAUAAUAUGCAAUCAAGGUGGACAUGUGUUUGUUUGUGCUGAAUCUGGCUGCCCAAUUGCUCUCCACAAGAAGUGCGUGAGUCAGGAACUUAUAUCUGAUGACGACUUAGAACAAUUCUACUGCCCGUAUUGUUUGCACAAACGAGCGUUGGUACAGAAAGAACAACUGAGAAAAAAGGCUGAAUUGGCAAAGGAGGAUUUAUUGAAAUUUUUGGGUACAAAUGCCGUUGGUGGGGAUGGGCUAAAGCAGAAAGAUGGGGAAGAAAAGAGGUGUCAGGAUCAGCAUAAUACAGAUGAAGAACAGAUGACCGAAGAUGGUGCACUUGAUGCAUCAAAAGGAUCACAAGGCGGUCUAAAGAUACAUGAGGAAAACAUUUCUGAAGCACAUCAGUCUAAAUUUGCAGAAGAUGUAGAAAACAUACAACUAGAGAUGAAUGCAGAUGGGGCACUUGAUAGAUCAAAAGGAGGAUCAAAGGACGGUUUAAAGGUACCUGAGGAAAAUAAAGGCAGAAGCAAGGAUGAAGAACAAAUGCAGCCAAAAUCACCAAAGCAGACUUCAAAUGCUGAUUUUGCCUCUAGAACUACGGAUUCAGAUAUGGAGAUACUCGCAGCACGAGUAUGCCGAAUCAAACAAAGAGCCCAAAAGAAGCCUUUCCCUCAGAAUGAUGAUUCACCAAGGAAAUUAUCCUCUCAGGAAAAUAGCACCACAGAGAAAAAGGUCACCUCCAAGAAUAAGAAACAUGCUGCCUCCAAAAAGUCAAGACAACCUCAAGUGUCGACUAAGCAACUCACAACAAUGCCUUUUCCUACUGCAAAGCGAAAGAGAUUACUUUGGACAGCUGAAGAGGAAAAUAUGUUAAAGGAAGGUGUGCAUCAUGUUUCAGCUUCAGCCAAAAAAAAUGUCCCCUGGAGGAAAAUUUUGGAACUUGGUCGUCACAUAUUUCAUAAGAGUCGAACUCCAGAAGAUCUCAAGGAUAAAUGGAGGACGAUGUUGGCCAAAGAGCCUUAGACAAUUAAGAGAAGAUUGACUGAAUUGCUUAGUACAUCAGAUGACAAAGAUGGUUUACGUUGACAACAAUUCUAUUGGAGGUUUAAAUUGCAACUUUUCAUUCUUGAGGGAUCAAAAUGACAGCAACCCAAAGCUAGUGAAAGGGGUGACAGCAGGGUCUUUCUCCUAGUCAAGUCUAACUGUACGUGUGUAUAAUAUACCAGGAAGACCUCUUAAAUGAUGAAACAUGUAUAUAUAUCAAAUGGAUUCACUACUGUUUUUUGCUUGUCAAUGAAGGUUUUACAUUUUAUGAGAGGAAGAAAGAAAAGCAAGGCAGGAUAAAUUUGUUUCUAGGGCACAGGAGCAAACUUAACCCAUGAAUAAAACUUCCUGUAACUAGCAUUUUGGAUGGAGGAAAUUGCCAAGGUUGACUGUAGAUUGAAGAUAAAUGACCAUAGAAGUUGUAAUUGGAGCUUGCUUAAUAGAUCCUGGCCUUUCGAAGUAUGAUAAGUAUAUCAGGAAGCAAACUUCUGUGCAGAGAUUUUGACACAGCAGCAGGUGGAUAGUAACUGGAAUUACUUUGAAGUAAAUAAUAGUUUCCCAGCUAAGCAAAGGUGCUUUUAUCUUUUUGCCAAUUUUGAGAAGUAGCUUAUGCAUUUUUAGACGACUUUUUACUUAGAAACGCCCAGGGAUUUUCUCAUAGUAGUUAAGCAGCUCUACCAAACUAAAGAAAAUAGAUUUUCUCUUGUAUAUUAAUAUUGAUAUGAAGCCAAGGAUUUGUUUCAAUUUCAAGUAGUACAGCAUAUCCUUA